Molecule: non-coding RNA, 477 nt
Organism: Labrus bergylta (ballan wrasse)
Lineage: Eukaryota; Metazoa; Chordata; Actinopteri; Labriformes; Labridae
Source: RefSeq, a predicted model, not a curated record
AAGAAUGGAAAAUACGACUUGAACGGCUUCUUUGGGAAUGGUGGCUACCAAGGUUAACCACAACGACAACUAUCAUCUGCCGUUGUAAAUUAUUUUUCCGCUGUUUCCAAGUGUACAUUAUUCUUACUCUCUUCUGUCUGUAGAAUAGUCCGUGUGUUUUUGUUUGUUUGUAGUGAUAUCAUUUAGACGUUUGGAGUUGUUAGGUUAUCUGUUCAUGUUUAUUGUGAUGUGUCUUCAUUACCUUUAUGUCAUGCACUUACUGUUUACUCUACAUGAAAAGAUUUAGUUAGAGGAGCAAAGAAGUCAGUUAGUUUUUUUUUUUUUUUUUUUAAAUUGAUGCUAUUUACUCAAACUAAUCCUGUAAAAUGCAAAGCAGUCAAUUUAUUUUGCAUGGGAAAGGUUUUCACUACUUGUUGCAAAGCAUCUGUUUAUAACUGUACAGAAUUUGAAUAAAACCAUCAAUGAAUACCGACAAUA